Molecule: long non-coding RNA, 2381 nt
Organism: Manis pentadactyla (Chinese pangolin)
Lineage: Eukaryota; Metazoa; Chordata; Mammalia; Pholidota; Manidae
Exons: 3
Source: RefSeq, a predicted model, not a curated record
AAGAGCCUCAGUAUUUCAGUACAAUCUAAAUAGACUGCAACAAGAAAGGUUGCAAAUGCACAGUCAUUGCCAUAGUGGAGUUUUCUGGCUGUUAGUAAUCAUUGCUUGUUUUGAAAUUUUAAGCAACUUUGGAGAAGACCUCCUUUCAAGCUGUGAGCAGAACUUCUCCACUCUUGAAUAUCACAGAAAAUGAGUGAUCUCAUUAAGAGAUUUUACUAAAUUGCUGUCCUCGUUUCUUUAGAAAGGGAGGAAAAUGUGCUUUUCAGAUCUUAAUAGGUUGUGCAUAGCUCUUCUGAAUGAAAAAAUGAGUGUGGGGCUAAUGAUAAUCCUGAAAUGCAGAUUUAUUUAUUUAAGUCUUUCUGUCAAUGAUUAUCAUGGCCUGGUAAUUCCACGAAGCACUGCUGCAUGGAGAACUUGCAUUAGUGUGCUAUGGUGGUGUAAGUAAAGAAGACUGCAUCCUGCCUCUUGGGGUUUUUAUCUCCUAGAUAGUUUUGGGAGUCAAGAACAUACAUGGAAAGGAGCCCCAGAAACCUGUGAGAGCAGGCCUUCUUUUAUUCAACAGCUAUUUACUGAAGAUCUACUAUGUGCCAGACACUGUUCCAGGGAGAUAGCAUUUCCUGCAGCAAACAGCUUGGGGAAGGGCCUUUUUUUCUGUCCUUGAUGACAUCUCACUGAAGAUGGAGGGACCUCAGUCACUAGAAUCCCAUCUGUCAAGGUAUGCCUACAGAAAUCCUGCCAGCAGCCUGCAGGAAGGAGUGCAGAGUAGGUGGAGGGCAGGGAAAAUGUCAUGGGAAGGGCAAGUAACUUUCUUAUUCUCUCAACAGUAUUGUGAGCCUCUCCACAGAAAGCAUUUUUAUUUCAUUGCUAUAAAAACACCUCCUGGGAGAAGGAAAAAGUUCAGGUUUUGAUUGGUUCUUCUCAACUUGGAUAGAAUUUUCAGUUUGUUAUUAGGAUAGCAAAUUUAUACACAAUGUGUACAAUACAAAUCCCCAUAUCAACACUGAAGUCAAGGGCUUUACUCUUGCUAAUAAUGGUCUGCAAAGAUUGACUUUUUACUGAAUGACAAGAUCAAACUUUAUUCUGCAUAGUGAUACAGUGCUGAACAAUAAUCUAUGGACUCAUGGACAUUAAGAUUUCAAUCCUGGCUCUGAUGUUACUAAAUCGUUUUGGUCAAUUUACUUUAGAUCCCCAGAUCUGUUACUCUUUAUAAUAAAAAGUGGUAGUGAUACUACUAUACAGAGUCAUUCUGAGGAUUGUUUGAGAUGAAGACAAUAUAGUUUAGCACAGUGCUUGGUAUUUAAUAAAUAAGUAUUUAAAAAUACACUUGUCUCACUUAAUCAAGGAGAAGAACUAAAACUAUUUUAUAAUAUAAGUCGAGUCUCCUUGAAAUUAAAUUGUCCCAUACUACGAUGAUCCAGGUAUAUUAUAGAAAACAACUAUAACCAAUUAGUUUCUGGCUUUUAUGUACUACUUUGAAAUUACAUAAAUGCAACUGAAAAGGAAAGGGUAUUUGUCAUUCUAGCUCCCCCAUUGAUUUUAAUGUCCCAUUAUAACUCCAAAAACUUAAUUAUGAGAAUCUUAAGUUAAAAGUUUACUACAUAAUGUAUACCUACAUUAGCAGAUAUACCUAUGACAUCAUGGUUAAAAUAAUGACAAAAGGAAAGGAGUGGAUAAAUGAGGUAGUUUAUCAAAUGAUUAAAAUUUGUAGGAAACAUUGCAUUAAAACUUUAAGUACUAAGUAUACUGCAUAUGAUCUUUUUCCAGAAACUUUUUUCCUAAUUUCAAUAAAGUAAAUAAUUUGAUGUUGCUAUAAUUAUGUCUGCUAUUAUGUUAAGAGAUAAACAUGUACUAUGCAGGUGUGUGGUGAUCUCAUUAAUGAGAUCAUGCAGUUGGUCAACCAUAUGGUACAAAAGAAGUUAGUCCAAGCUAAUCACAGAAGCAUACUGGUUCAGUGACUAUAAAUCAGUUCAAGUCUGAAACUUGCCUGUUAAAUUAUCCACUUUAUAGAGGACAAGACACAGAAUUCAGAAAUAUAUAAGUGAUCUCAGUACCUCUAUUUUAUAUGUCCCUAAUUUAUAUGUCAUAUUAUAUGAAUAUAUAGCCAGAUAGAUGUAUUGAUAUUGGGCCAAAGUAUUUAACCUAUUGGUUAUGGUUCUCUGAAUGAAUAAAAUUGUACACUAAUAAUUCCACCACUAGCCUAGAAUAGCACAUCUGCACCCAAAGGUGGAAUCAGUAUUAGGCCAUAUCCAAAGAUUUGGCAUGUUGUCUACUUAGUUGAGAAUAUUUAUUGACAGAGAGAUACUACCUCACGAGACCAUCAGCUCCUAGAGUGAACCAUUCUGUAUAUUAUAAAAAUCUUCCCCAGAGUUAUUCUGGGGACA